CUACGGGGGGCUCCAGUGGGGAAUAUUGGACAAUGGGGGAAACCCUGAUCCAGCAAUGCCGCGUGUGUGAAGAAGGCCUGCGGGUUGUAAAGCACUUUCAGCGAGGAGGAAAGGGAUGCUGCUAAUAUCAGCGUCCUGUGACGUUACUCGCAGAAGAAGCACCGGCUAGACUCCGUGCCAGCAGCCGCGGUAAUACGGAGGGUGCAAGCGUUAAUCGGAAUUACUGGGCGUAAAGCGUGCGUAGGCGGCCUUUUAAGUUGGAUGUGAAAGCCCCGGGCUCAACCUGGGAACGGCAUCCAAAACUGGGAGGCUCGAGUGCGGAAGAGGAGUGUGGAAUUUCCUGUGUAGCGGUGAAAUGCGUAGAUAUAGGAAGGAACACCAGUGGCGAAGGCGACACUCUGGUCUGACACUGACGCUGAGGUACGAAAGCGUGGGGAGCAAACAGGAUUAGAUACCCCGGUAGUC
RNAcentral lists this ribosomal RNA (465 nucleotides) under uncultured bacterium. RNAcentral's name for it is "partial 16S ribosomal RNA". It matches the Rfam family "Bacterial small subunit ribosomal RNA", at positions 339 to 795 of the family's 1533-position model. The record is from RNAcentral.